This 72-nucleotide transfer RNA is filed under the name Camelus bactrianus (Bactrian camel). It matches the Rfam family "tRNA". Rfam says of the family: Transfer RNA (tRNA) molecules are approximately 80 nucleotides in length. Their secondary structure includes four short double-helical elements and three loops (D, anti-codon, and T loops). Further hydrogen bonds mediate the characteristic L-shaped molecular structure. tRNAs have two regions of fundamental functional importance: the anti-codon, which is responsible for specific mRNA codon recognition, and the 3' end, to which the tRNAs corresponding amino acid is attached (by aminoacyl-tRNA synthetases). tRNAs cope with the degeneracy of the genetic code in two manners: having more than one tRNA (with a specific anti-codon) for a particular amino acid; and 'wobble' base-pairing, i.e. permitting non-standard base-pairing at the 3rd anti-codon position. RNAcentral also lists the same sequence under 2 other names. The record is from Rfam by way of RNAcentral. Lineage: Eukaryota; Metazoa; Chordata; Mammalia; Artiodactyla; Camelidae.
GUUGUUAUAGCUCAGUGUAAGAGCAUAUGCUUAGCAUGCUUGAGGUCCUGGGUUCAACCUCCAGUACCUCCA